Molecule: long non-coding RNA, 347 nt
Filed under: Elaeis guineensis (African oil palm)
Lineage: Eukaryota; Viridiplantae; Streptophyta; Magnoliopsida; Arecales; Arecaceae
Description: long non-coding RNA (EGUI_LNC041020)
Source: RNAcentral
GGGUCGGGGACAUGAUAAUUUUUGUAGAAAGGAGAGAGAGAGAGAGGGGAGGAGAUCGAAGACGCUGCACUUUUCCACCCAAGAAUUCUUUCUCAAAUUGAUAAAUUUCGUUAGGGACCGAGUAUACUUGGACAUUUGUAUCUUUGGAUAUAAUCACACCUUCUAUAGUUGAUUUUGAAAGGUGGAAGGAGAUGGAUCAUUUUUAUUCCAACUACUCGUCGAUCACCACCCCGUUACUUGCUCAGAAAAAAAUCGUCGUUUGGCAGGAUUGGUUACUUUAUCGGGGAGAAGUUUCGAGCGAUGAGAAUGCAAGCGUUAACAAAUCGUUGUGCUAUCUUGUAAAUGGG